Molecule: transfer RNA, 74 nt
Filed under: Rickettsiales bacterium
Lineage: Bacteria; Pseudomonadati; Pseudomonadota; Alphaproteobacteria; Rickettsiales
Description: tRNA-Cys
Rfam family: tRNA
About the family: Transfer RNA (tRNA) molecules are approximately 80 nucleotides in length. Their secondary structure includes four short double-helical elements and three loops (D, anti-codon, and T loops). Further hydrogen bonds mediate the characteristic L-shaped molecular structure. tRNAs have two regions of fundamental functional importance: the anti-codon, which is responsible for specific mRNA codon recognition, and the 3' end, to which the tRNAs corresponding amino acid is attached (by aminoacyl-tRNA synthetases). tRNAs cope with the degeneracy of the genetic code in two manners: having more than one tRNA (with a specific anti-codon) for a particular amino acid; and 'wobble' base-pairing, i.e. permitting non-standard base-pairing at the 3rd anti-codon position.
Source: RNAcentral
GGUCGAUUGGCAGAGUGGUUAUGCAGAGGACUGCAAAUCCUUUUAUAGUGGUUCGAUUCCGCUAUCGACCUCCA